GACGAACGCUGGCGGCGUGCCUAAUACAUGCAAGUAGAACGCUGAAGGAGGAGCUUGCUCUUCUGGAUGAGUUGCGAACGGGUGAGUAACGCGUAGGUAACCUGCCUGGUAGCGGGGGAUAACUAUUGGAAACGAUAGCUAAUACCGCAUAAGAGUAGAUGUUGCAUGACAUUUGCUUAAAAGGUGCAAUUGCAUCACUACCAGAUGGACCUGCGUUGUAUUAGCUAGUUGGUGGGGUAACGGCUCACCAAGGCGACGAUACAUAGCCGACCUGAGAGGGUGAUCGGCCACACUGGGACUGAGACACGGCCCAGACUCCUACGGGAGGCAGCAGUAGGGAAUCUUCGGCAAUGGACGGAAGUCUGACCGAGCAACGCCGCGUGAGUGAAGAAGGUUUUCGGAUCGUAAAGCUCUGUUGUAAGAGAAGAACGAGUGUGAGAGUGGAAAGUUCACACUGUGACGGUAUCUUACCAGAAAGGGACGGCUAACUACGUGCCAGCAGCCGCGGUAAUACGUAGGUCCCGAGCGUUGUCCGGAUUUAUUGGGCGUAAAGCGAGCGCAGGCGGUUAGAUAAGUCUGAAGUUAAAGGCUGUGGCUUAACCAUAGUACGCUUUGGAAACUGUUUAACUUGAGUGCAAGAGGGGAGAGUGGAAUUCCAUGUGUAGCGGUGAAAUGCGUAGAUAUAUGGAGGAACACCGGUGGUGAAAGCGGCUCUCUGGCUUGUAACUGACGCUGAGGCUCGAAAGCGUGGGGAGCAAACAGG
Molecule: ribosomal RNA, 763 nt
Filed under: uncultured Streptococcus sp.
Lineage: Bacteria; Bacillati; Bacillota; Bacilli; Lactobacillales; Streptococcaceae
Description: bacterial SSU rRNA
Rfam family: Bacterial small subunit ribosomal RNA
Source: RNAcentral